UCGAACGGUAAAUAUUAUAGCAAUAUAAUAUGAGAGUGACGUAAGGGUGCGUAACAAGUAUGCAAUCUGCCCUCAACAGGAGGAUAGCUCCCCGAAAGGGGAAUUAACACUCCAUAAGAUAAUGGUGUGGCAUCACACAGUUAUUAAAUCUGCGGAGGUUGAGGAUGAGCAUGCUUCUGAUUAGCUAGUUGGUAGUGUAACGGACUACCAAGGCGAUGAUCAGUAGGGGAACUGAGAGGUUGAUCCCCCACACUGGCACUGAGAUACGGGCCAGACUCCUACGGGAGGCAGCAGUAGGGAAUAUUGGUCAAUGGGUGAGAGCCUGAACCAGCCAUGCCGCGUGCAGGAAGACGGCCUUCUGGGUUGUAAACUGCUUUUGUCAGGGGAUAAAAUAGCCUUGCGAGGCGAAUUGAAGGUACCUGGCGAAUAAGCCACGGCUAACUACGUGCCAGCAGCCGCGGUAAUACGUAGGUGGCAAGCGUUGUCCGGAUUUAUUGGGUUUAAAGGGUGCGUAGGCGGUCUUUUAAGUCAGUGCUGAAAUAUCCCGGCUUAACCGGGAGGGUGGCAUUGAUACUGAAGGACUUGAGUAAAGUUGAGGUUGGCGGAAUUGACGGUGUAGCGGUGAAAUGCUUAGAUAUCGUCAAGAACACCGAUAGUGCAGACAGCUAACUAAGCUUUAACUGACGCUGAGGCACGAAAGUGUGGGGAUCAAACAGGAUUAGAUACCCUGGUAGUCCACACUGUAAACGUUGAUUACUCGAUGUUGGCGAUACACAGUCAGCGUCUUAGCGCAAGCGAUAAGUAAUC
Molecule: ribosomal RNA, 807 nt
Filed under: uncultured Bacteroidota bacterium
Lineage: Bacteria; Pseudomonadati; Bacteroidota
Description: bacterial SSU rRNA
Rfam family: Bacterial small subunit ribosomal RNA
Source: RNAcentral